GAUGAUCAACUGAGGCAUAAUUUACCAUUUAGAGUAUUACAUACUGUUAAAACAUAAUGGGAGAACAACUUGUAUUGAGAAUGAUCCACAAGGAAAGAGAAUGGCAAAACUCUCAAGUUCACCAAGACUCGUCUGCUAGUCUCAUGGUUAGGAUUUCAAUCUCACAAUUACCAUUUCACAUAUUUGAAUCUCCAUGAGCACUAGCAACAACCAUUGAUGCACAAGUUUUCAAAUGCUUGAAGAAGACAUGUGCUUGUUCUUCUAUCCUCCAAAAAUUUCAAAUUCAUGAAUUAGUCAACUAUAGGAAGCUUUCGGAUGAAACCGGGCCCAUAUCCUAAAAUUCAAAACAGAGGCAAUAAAAUAAUAAGAGAGAGCAUAGGGGAGUUGAAUUACCAAGAGACAAAUGUGUAAUUAAGUAUUUGCUUAGAUGCAUUUACUGUUUUAUAUUUUUAAAAGGAGAAAAUAGCUUGUUUAUAUAAAAUACAAAAAAAAUUAAAGACUUACAUUCACAUGAUAAUAGUUUUAAAAAUUGUUUAAAAUUUUGAAGUAUUAAAAAUGUUUUCUUACCUCAAAUUUUAAAAUUUUUUGAUGUAAUUUUAAAAAAAAUAAAAGGUAAGUCUACUUUUUGUACAAGAGUUUCUACUUUUUAUAUAGAAAUAAUUCUUAUUUUUGUUUUUUUCUCUCUUAAAAGUAUAUCUAAACAAGAUCAAAGACUGCAUUAAAACUUCAUCUUGUCAUAAUGAAUAUACCGUCUAAAGUAAGCCACUAAAUAAUAUGAAUCCUUUGCUCUUUACCACCUCAUUGUAGAUUGAAAUUUCAAAUUUGUGCUCGAUUCCAAGGCUUUUGAGAAGGAUUCCUCACUCCCAAGAGUACUUUAGAAGAUGAAUCCCUAUGUUAAUUGCAAAAAAACAUCUAGUGAGUAAUAAUGUGAAUUCAUCCUAUUCUUAAGACAAACUUUGUCACAAGUAUCUAUAGUACGAAUGCUCACAAAUUAUCAAACUUACAAUUAUUCAUGUGAAGGAAAAUCCACCCAAAGUAUCCUGAUUUCUCAAAAACAGAGUCAAUUAGGAAUAUGACCUGGUUGUAGGAG
RNAcentral lists this long non-coding RNA (1090 nucleotides) under Vitis vinifera (wine grape). RNAcentral describes it as "long non-coding RNA (VVIN_LNC006840)". The record is from RNAcentral. Lineage: Eukaryota; Viridiplantae; Streptophyta; Magnoliopsida; Vitales; Vitaceae.